Molecule: ribosomal RNA, 1540 nt
Filed under: Lacticaseibacillus paracasei
Lineage: Bacteria; Bacillati; Bacillota; Bacilli; Lactobacillales; Lactobacillaceae
Description: bacterial SSU rRNA
Rfam family: Bacterial small subunit ribosomal RNA
Source: RNAcentral
UUUUUUUUUUUUUUUUUUUUUUUUUUUCCGCAGAUGAACGGCGGCGGCGUGCCUAAUACAUGCAAGUCGAACGAGUUCUCGUUGAUGAUCGGUGCUUGCACCGAGAUUCAACAUGGAACGAGUGGCGGACGGGUGAGUAACACGUGGGUAACCUGCCCUUAAGUGGGGGAUAACAUUUGGAAACAGAUGCUAAUACCGCAUAGAUCCAAGAACCGCAUGGUUCUUGGCUGAAAGAUGGCGUAAGCUAUCGCUUUUGGAUGGACCCGCGGCGUAUUAGCUAGUUGGUGAGGUAAUGGCUCACCAAGGCGAUGAUACGUAGCCGAACUGAGAGGUUGAUCGGCCACAUUGGGACUGAGACACGGCCCAAACUCCUACGGGAGGCAGCAGUAGGGAAUCUUCCACAAUGGACGCAAGUCUGAUGGAGCAACGCCGCGUGAGUGAAGAAGGCUUUCGGGUCGUAAAACUCUGUUGUUGGAGAAGAAUGGUCGGCAGAGUAACUGUUGUCGGCGUGACGGUAUCCAACCAGAAAGCCACGGCUAACUACGUGCCAGCAGCCGCGGUAAUACGUAGGUGGCAAGCGUUAUCCGGAUUUAUUGGGCGUAAAGCGAGCGCAGGCGGUUUUUUAAGUCUGAUGUGAAAGCCCUCGGCUUAACCGAGGAAGCGCAUCGGAAACUGGGAAACUUGAGUGCAGAAGAGGACAGUGGAACUCCAUGUGUAGCGGUGAAAUGCGUAGAUAUAUGGAAGAACACCAGUGGCGAAGGCGGCUGUCUGGUCUGUAACUGACGCUGAGGCUCGAAAGCAUGGGUAGCGAACAGGAUUAGAUACCCUGGUAGUCCAUGCCGUAAACGAUGAAUGCUAGGUGUUGGAGGGUUUCCGCCCUUCAGUGCCGCAGCUAACGCAUUAAGCAUUCCGCCUGGGGAGUACGACCGCAAGGUUGAAACUCAAAGGAAUUGACGGGGGCCCGCACAAGCGGUGGAGCAUGUGGUUUAAUUCGAAGCAACGCGAAGAACCUUACCAGGUCUUGACAUCUUUUGAUCACCUGAGAGAUCAGGUUUCCCCUUCGGGGGCAAAAUGACAGGUGGUGCAUGGUUGUCGUCAGCUCGUGUCGUGAGAUGUUGGGUUAAGUCCCGCAACGAGCGCAACCCUUAUGACUAGUUGCCAGCAUUUAGUUGGGCACUCUAGUAAGACUGCCGGUGACAAACCGGAGGAAGGUGGGGAUGACGUCAAAUCAUCAUGCCCCUUAUGACCUGGGCUACACACGUGCUACAAUGGAUGGUACAACGAGUUGCGAGACCGCGAGGUCAAGCUAAUCUCUUAAAGCCAUUCUCAGUUCGGACUGUAGGCUGCAACUCGCCUACACGAAGUCGGAAUCGCUAGUAAUCGCGGAUCAGCACGCCGCGGUGAAUACGUUCCCGGGCCUUGUACACACCGCCCGUCACACCAUGAGAGUUUGUAACACCCGAAGCCGGUGGCGUAACCCUUUUAGGGAGCGAGCCGUCUAAGGUGGGACAAAUGAUUAGGGUGAGCCAAAGGGGGGGGG